GAGUAAUAGAGGGCUCUGGUGACCCUGCUGAGAGAUGGUUCAGUGACCUUGAGGUGGCAGCAGGAAAAGCAGAAGAGAGUCACCACCUGUGGAAGCGCUGAGAAAGGAAUUGAGGUUUGACUGAUGGAAAGAGAAACUCAGUUCAUCCAUGUACAUCAAGUCCAUCUAGUCAAGGCUAUGGUUUUUCCACUGGCCAUGUAUGGAUGUGAGAGUUGGACUAUAAGGGAAGCUGAGCACCGAAGAAUUGAUGCUUUUGAACAGUGGUGUUGGAGAAGACUCUUGAGAGUCCCUUGGACUGCAAGGAGAUCCAACCAGUCCAUUCUGAAGGAGAUCAGCCCUGAAUAUUCAUUGGAAGGACUGAUGCUGAAGCUGAAACUCCAAUACUUUGGCCACCUGAUGCAAAGAGUUGACUCAUUGGAAAAGACUCUGAUGCUAGGAGGGAUUGGGGGCAGGAAGAGAAGGGGACGACAGAGGAUGAGAUGGCUGGAGGGCAUCACUGACUUGAUGGACAUGAGUUUGGGUAAACUCCAGGAGUUGGUGAUGGACAGGAAGGCCUGGCGUGCUGCAAUUCAUGGGGUUGGCAAAGAGUCGGACACAACUGAGCGACUGACCUGAACUGAACUGAUUCUCUUCUCAGCAAGUGAAACAGUGGCUGCUUUGCUGGAGUGUUUUUUAAUUUUUUUUUCUUUUCCUUUGGCAGUAUUAUACCUGAAUUCCUGAUUAGUAUUGUCAGCAAUGAAGUCCUUUCCUUAGAACUCAUGUCUACAUUCAGUAACUGGCUAUAACAGGAAUAUCUCUGCAGAAUCUAAACUAGUCAGGAGCUGUGCUUCUGGUGUUUCAGUCUCUCAGAGAUGUGCUAAGUUUACUUUCAAGUCUCAAAUUGUAUUGUUAAAUCUGUAAAUGGAUCAAUUAGAUGCCAGUUAGGUACCAAUCUCUGCUUUUAUGACUGUAGUUCAUUUC
This is a long non-coding RNA of Bos taurus (domestic cattle), 960 nucleotides long. Lineage: Eukaryota; Metazoa; Chordata; Mammalia; Artiodactyla; Bovidae. The record is from Ensembl.